This 1086-nucleotide long non-coding RNA is filed under the name Populus trichocarpa (black cottonwood). RNAcentral's name for it is "long non-coding RNA (PTRI_LNC004250)". Lineage: Eukaryota; Viridiplantae; Streptophyta; Magnoliopsida; Malpighiales; Salicaceae. The record is from RNAcentral.
CCAAGUGUAUGGUGGAUAUCAACCUCAUUUUGCAUGAGCUACACUAUAAAUAGCAGGUCAGAACCUGGUAAUUGAAUCAUCAAGAGUGAACCAGCUUGAGCAAAUUCAGUUUCUAAGCAAAAGCUUUCCAGGCCCCUUUAUCCUAUUUUACCUGCAGAAAAUGUCUGGCUGUAGCUGUGGCUCUGACUGCAAGUGUGGCAGUGGCUGCAAGUAAUUACUAGUUCUUUUCUUGUCAAGAUUCUACUAAUUAGUCCCUUUAAAGAUACUGAAAAGGGCACCAAUAGAUUAGUUACUUAUAUUCUCUCUUUUUUCUCCUUGAAUUUCAUUAGACUAUAGUCUGAAACUCACUUUUCUGUGGUUGCAAUCUUCUUGUGCUUGGCAGAUGUGGCAUGUACCCUGACUUAGGUUUCUCAGAGAACACCACAACUGAGACAAUCAUUGCAGGUGUUGCACCAGUUAAGAUGUAUGUAUCACACAAUUCAUAUACUAUUAUUUUCAUGCAUCAAAGUUUUACUAAGUCCCAGAAGGUGGCUCUGACUCACUGGGAUUCCAGUGAUUAAAGAUUUGGAUUUCCAAUUAAUAUUCUACUCUUAUAUUUAAGAUCCAAAAAUGUUGUCUGAAUAAUAUAGUAUUUUAGAACACAAAUGUUGUGUUUACUGAUAUUGUUCUGCUAUUUCUGCAGGUUCUAUGAGAGGUCUGAGAUGGACUUCGGUGCUGAGAAUGGCUGCAAGUGUGGAUCAAACUGCACCUGUGAUCCAUGCUCCUGCAAAUGAGGACACAUGGACAUGGUUCCAACAAAGCAGUAGUUAAUCUAUCAGUUGGUCAGCUCAUGUUUGUAUAAUGGUGCUUGUUGUUAAAUAAUAAUAAACAGCAAAGGGUUCCUAUAAAUCCUUUGUCUUGUGUACGCGUCACUGCUUUGUUGGCUGCUUCAACUUUCAAGGUGUUUUCAUGUAUGCUUGGAAACUUGAACUAUGUGGAGUUGAUGAUUAUUAAUGAAAAUGCUUAAUUAGUUUCUGUUUUAAUGGUUGUAAACCUUUUCUUCUCUUUUACCUAUAGAUCAUAGACUUCUUCUUACCUGCUUUGACA